This 733-nucleotide ribosomal RNA is filed under the name Bacillus sp. BC1. Its description in RNAcentral is "bacterial SSU rRNA". It matches the Rfam family "Bacterial small subunit ribosomal RNA", at positions 77 to 795 of the family's 1533-position model. The record is from RNAcentral. Lineage: Bacteria; Bacillati; Bacillota; Bacilli; Caryophanales; Bacillaceae.
AGCUUGCUCCCGGAUGUUAGCGGCGGACGGGUGAGUAACACGUGGGUAACCUGCCUGUAAGACUGGGAUAACUCCGGGAAACCGGAGCUAAUACCGGAUAGUUCCUUGAACCGCAUGGUUCAAGGAUGAAAGACGGUUUCGGCUGUCACUUACAGAUGGACCCGCGGCGCAUUAGCUAGUUGGUGGGGUAAUGGCUCACCAAGGCGACGAUGCGUAGCCGACCUGAGAGGGUGAUCGGCCACACUGGGACUGAGACACGGCCCAGACUCCUACGGGAGGCAGCAGUAGGGAAUCUUCCGCAAUGGACGAAAGUCUGACGGAGCAACGCCGCGUGAGUGAUGAAGGUUUUCGGAUCGUAAAGCUCUGUUGUUAGGGAAGAACAAGUGCGAGAGUAACUGCUCGCACCUUGACGGUACCUAACCAGAAAGCCACGGCUAACUACGUGCCAGCAGCCGCGGUAAUACGUAGGUGGCAAGCGUUGUCCGGAAUUAUUGGGCGUAAAGGGCUCGCAGGCGGUUUCUUAAGUCUGAUGUGAAAGCCCCCGGCUCAACCGGGGAGGGUCAUUGGAAACUGGGAAACUUGAGUGCAGAAGAGGAGAGUGGAAUUCCACGUGUAGCGGUGAAAUGCGUAGAGAUGUGGAGGAACACCAGUGGCGAAGGCGACUCUCUGGUCUGUAACUGACGCUGAGGAGCGAAAGCGUGGGGAGCGAACAGGAUUAGAUACCCUGGUAGUC